RNAcentral lists this ribosomal RNA (617 nucleotides) under uncultured bacterium. RNAcentral's name for it is "bacterial SSU rRNA". It matches the Rfam family "Bacterial small subunit ribosomal RNA", at positions 338 to 954 of the family's 1533-position model. The record is from RNAcentral.
CCUACGGGAGGCAGCAGUGGGGAAUUUUGGACAAUGGGCGCAAGCCUGAUCCAGCAAUGCCGCGUGAGUGAAGAAGGCCUUCGGGUUGUAAAGCUCUUUUGUCAGGGAAGAAACGGUGGAGGUUAAUACCUUCUGCUAAUGACGGUACCUGAAGAAUAAGCACCGGCUAACUACGUGCCAGCAGCCGCGGUAAUACGUAGGGUGCAAGCGUUAAUCGGAAUUACUGGGCGUAAAGCGUGCGCAGGCGGUUGUGCAAGACAGAUGUGAAAUCCCCGGGCUCAACCUGGGAAUUGCAUUUGUGACUGUACGGCUAGAGUGUGUCAGAGGGGGGUAGAAUUCCACGUGUAGCAGUGAAAUGCGUAGAGAUGUGGAGGAAUACCGAUGGCGAAGGCAGCCCCCUGGGAUAACACUGACGCUCAUGCACGAAAGCGUGGGGAGCAAACAGGAUUAGAUACCCUGGUAGUCCACGCCCUAAACGAUGUCUACUAGUUGUCGGGUCUUAUUGACUUGGUAACGCAGCUAACGCGUGAAGUAGACCGCCUGGGGAGUCGGUCGCAGNUUAAAACNCAAAUGAAUUGACCGGNNGAGAGAGCGACGGACGACGACGAGGGAGGAGG